This 352-nucleotide long non-coding RNA is filed under the name Linum usitatissimum (flax). Its description in RNAcentral is "long non-coding RNA (LUSI_LNC003079)". The record is from RNAcentral. Lineage: Eukaryota; Viridiplantae; Streptophyta; Magnoliopsida; Malpighiales; Linaceae.
GAAAACUAAGGGUCAAGUUAACAAGUUGAUAUUAUUUGUUGGAUUCAAAUAGUUGCCACAUACUCUUCGGAUUGCAUGCAUAUGCACCGUAUCUCAAUGUAGGCCAUAUCUGUUUUUUUUUUUUUUGCGGAUAUUAAUUAAUUAUAUUCUUCAACCUGAUUUGAUAUAUGGCUUUCCAGUUUCCCAUAUAUAAUUACAUGGACACUUCGUAUUCUACUGACCAUAUAAGCCUUCUCUUUGUAUAUACGCAUAACUGAAAGAGAUUAGCCAAAAGUCCUAAACCAAGAUGAUCACGGCAGGGACAGUUGGCUGUGAAAUGCCGACAAAGCUGAAGGCGACCACUUCAUCGGAC